GACGAACGCUGGCGGCGUGCUUAACACAUGCAAGUCGAACGGUGAAGCGCCUUCCUUUUUGGUGGGUGUGGAUGAGUGGCGAACGGGUGAGUAACACGUGAGUAACCUGCCCCCUUCUUCUGGAUAACCGCAUGAAAGUGUGGCUAAUACGGGAUAUUCUGGGUCUGUCGCAUGAUGGGUCUGGGAAAGAUAUUGUUUCGGUGGGGGAUGGGCUCGCGGCCUAUCAGCUUGUUGGUGGGGUGAUGGCCUACCAAGGCGGUGACGGGUAGCCGGCCUGAGAGGGUGGACGGUCACACUGGGACUGAGACACGGCCCAGACUCCUACGGGAGGCAGCAGUGGGGAAUAUGCACAAUGGGCGCAAGCCUGAUGCAGCGACGCCGCGUGAGGGAUGGAGGCCUUCGGGUUGUGAACCUCUUUCGCCAGUGAAGCAGGCCCGCCUCGUUUGUGGGUGGGUUGACGGUAGCUGGAUAAGAAGCGCCGGCUAACUACGUG
RNAcentral lists this ribosomal RNA (493 nucleotides) under uncultured bacterium. RNAcentral describes it as "partial 16S ribosomal RNA". It matches the Rfam family "Bacterial small subunit ribosomal RNA", at positions 28 to 507 of the family's 1533-position model. The record is from RNAcentral.